GAAAUAAAUGAAAACCUUAUUCAUUUGUCAUAAACCUGUUCAAUACUAAAAAAAUAAAAUACAAUGUUAAUUGUUUUCUCAUUAAGAAGAACUCUCCUGAUAAUGAUACUUAAUUAACAGUAUCUCCAUUUCAAUGAGUUUAUCAUUUGGCAUCCAAAAGAACUUAAUUUUUCUUUUCCCUUUACCUUUUGGAGCUGCAGUGGGAGCUAAUGUUAACGAGGACGUUUCAAGAACACAUACCAAACAACUUGAAUCUGAAGCCAGGGAAUUAUUUCUUCCAUUCCGCUGCUUCUGCACACGCAAGGAUGUAAGUUCUGCCAUGUGUCCUUGUUCAUUCUCAUUCACAUUCUCUCCUCAUAUAACGAAUUGUUUUGUAUAGAUGCUUGACCUCAUCAUUUAUCUUUCCUGCAGAUAAGAUGUAAAGAAGUUGUAGUUGAGGAUGUUGAUGUAUCCAAAGCAAUAAUAGAUUAUGCUGCUUCUCAUAUAAUAGAAACUUUGAUACUGGGGGCAACAACAAGGGGAGGCCUAAUUGUCAGGUAUCUAUUCAAAUAGAAACAAUCAAGAACAUAGAUAAAUGGAGAAACAUCCAGACUGAACCCUUUAAACUGCUCUUAUCUAAAUAGCAGAUUCAAUUUUUUUUUUUUUUAAUAAACAUAUAAUGCCAUACCUCAAUUCUGGUAACAUUAAUAAGCAACUCUAUCUGAAAGUGGUGUUCUGAUGUGACUAUGCAAAUACUAAUUAUAUCCUUUUGCCACAGAAAAUUGAAGACAACAGACAUCCCAAUCACUGUGUCAAAAGCUGCACCGGACUUCUGCACAGUAUAUGUCAUCAGCAAAGGAAAGGUUCAUUCUGUACGGUCUGCUAGUGCUCCACCACCUCCAAAACCUCCACUUCAAAUUCAGUUGCCUAACAAACCCAGCUAUAUCCCUGCUUCGCCUGAUGUACAUCAAAGGACUGGCCGAACUCCCCAUGGUUUGUUUUUUGUAUCUAGCAUCACGCUUCUUUCCACUAUAACUGGGUUUUGUCAUUGCUCACAUGAGUUUUAUCAAUCUCUUUUGCAGUGUCUGAGAGGUCAUCAUAUAUGUCAAAUAGCAUCCAAGAAGAUUCAGAAAUGAUCAAGUAAGUUCAACAGAAAAGGGUUAUCAACAAUUUGUAGUAUCUAAUCUCUAAACUCAUAAAUACUUCUUGUUUUCUUCCAUCAAUGACAUUUCAGCAUGUUUGUUUAUAAAAUGAAGCCCAGAUGAGAGGACUAACCUGAAAACAAUUGGAACAGGUCCCCAUUCAUUAGAAAUAGUGGUUCAAUGGGAAAAUCAUAUAACCAUUACCCACCAGAAAUGGAUGUAUCAUAUGCAAGCAGUGUUAGGCCAACGAGCAAACGCAUGUUUCCAUCUUUCCAUGACCACUCAGAAUCUGUAAUGAGCCCCCAGUAUGCAAUGGGCAAUGACUAUGAUGAUAGAAGCUUUGGGUCAAUGUACUCGGCAAGCACGUCAAUAGAUAUGGAUUCACAAUAUAAUUACUCAUGCAGCUCACAGGACACUGGGCAAACGUCAUGGCAUUCACACAACAUGGUAAGGACACUGGACAAAGUCACAGAGAAGGGCAUAAACACCCAUCAAUAUACUACAAUUUUGUUUUAUACAUAUUUAAGGAAAUACUUGCAAUUAAUUAUGUAUGCUAAUCAAUACUUAAUCAGAUUGAAGAUAAAACUAAUGCUUCCAUCAUUCAAAAUUUAUAGAAUGAUGGGGAAUCUGAGAUAAGGAGACUCAGACUAGAGCUGAAGCAAACAAUGGACAUGUACAAUUCAGCAUGCAGGGAGGCACUCUCAGCAAAACAGAAGGUACCAAUAAAAUCAAUUAUAUGUUACACAUUCACAAAUACAAAGAACUUUGUCGUUGGGAAACAAUUACUAAUAAUGAAAUUAUAUUCUAAUAAAAUCUCCUCAGACUAGGGAAUAUCAAUAUCAGAAUUUAAAAGAACAUAGAUUUGAUGAGGCACAAAUAGCAGAGGAAGCUGCAUUGGCACUAGUCGAGAAGGAGAAAGCAAAGUGUAAUGCAGCGAUUGAAGCCGCUCAAGCUGCUCAAAAACUUGCUGAAAUGGAAGCACAAAAAAGAAUGAGUUUAGAAAUGAAAGCUCUCAAAGACUCUGAGGAGACAAAGGCAAGGGAAUCUUGGGUGCCAAGUGAUCUUAGGUAUCGAAGAUACACAAUUGAGGAGAUUGAAACGGCAACAAAAGACUUCUCAGACUCUCUGAAGAUUGGGGAAGGAGGUUAUGGCCCAGUUUACAGGUGUUACCUGGAUCAUACAGAAGUUGCAGUUAAAGUUCUACGUGCAGAUGCAGCUCAAGGAAAGUCACAGUUUCAGCAAGAGGUAUGAAACUGUCCAUGAACUUAGACUUUCUUCAAAAUGACAGACAUUUUAAUCUCAAUUAUAACAUCCAACAAAUCUAUUGCAGGUUGAAGUAUUAUCCUGCAUUCGGCAUCCAAACAUGGUUCUCCUCCUUGGAGCUUGCCCAGAGUACGGUUGUCUGGUGUAUGAACACAUGGCUAAUGGCAGCUUAGAUGAUCGUCUCUUCAGGCGAGGAAAUACCCCACCUCUUCCUUGGCAAGUAAGAUUCAGAAUUGCUGCAGAGAUUGCCACAGGCCUUCUUUUUCUCCACCAAACCAAACCAGAACCUCUGGUGCAUCGUGACCUAAAACCUGGCAAUAUUUUGCUCGACCGUAAUUUCGUCAGCAAGAUUAGUGAUGUUGGCUUGGCAAGACUUGUCCCCCCAUCUGUAGCUGAUAGUGUUACCCAAUAUCGCAUGACAUCAGCAGCAGGAACAUUCUGUUACAUUGAUCCAGAAUAUCAGCAAACUGGAAUGCUAGGAACAAAAUCUGAUAUUUACUCACUUGGUAUCAUGCUUCUACAAAUGAUAACCGCAAAGUCACCAAUGGGUUUAGCUCAUCUAGUUGAAAGUUUAAUAGAGGAUGGAACUUUUGUUGAGGUACUUGACCCAACUGUUCCUGAAUGGCCCUUAGAGGAUACCUUGAAAUUUGCCAAACUAGCUCUUCAAUGUGCAGAACUAAGAAAAAAAGACAGACCAGAUCUUGGGAAGGUCAUUUUGCCUGAACUUAGCAGAUUGAGAGCGCUUGGAGAAGAAAACAUGCCCUAUCCCAUGUUUGGAGGUAUAUUUAGCACAACAACCUCAACUAAUCGCAGCCAUAUUUCCUCACUUCAAGUGAGUUAAUCAUCUUGCAGAUAAUUUUAAUUCAAUAAUUAAAGUCUAUUCAUUAGAGAACUUCACUUUUUUGUAAGAAUAAAACUCCUACUAAUUAAUUUCAUAGCAUUCUAAGGCCACCGUAACCUUUGCAAACUUUGUAUUCACGCCUAUAUUUGAUUAUCUACUCUCAGGAAGUGACGAUGAGUGAUGUACCAUCCGCAACUGAUAGCUCAAGCAUUUCAAGUUCAUCAUCAUAUGGAGGAAGAAGAUAAUAUUUUAUACAGGAUGCUACUACAAGCUUAUAGCGCUUGUGAUUGGAGCACCAAACUUGAUGAAACUAGUGGAAACUAGGAGUCCAACAGAAAAGAAGGGAAAUUACUAAGUCAAUUUUGUCAUGCUUGUGUUGUACUUAUUUUUAGUUUCAUCUCCACGAUACUCCAAUGGGUAAAGUUUCAGGUUUUCAGUAUUAAGUUUGACGUUUGAAUCUUAAUCAGGUCAGGAUUGCGGAAAGGGAGUUAAUGGAAAGGGGGGAGGCUACCCCUAGUUGUUUAGCUCACUAGUGUAUCAGGAAAAACCUUUUUGUUCCUUUCAUAUUUAAUGCAAUUGUGGUAGCAACUAUGAUUAGAUCUGGUUUGGUUGAUUUGUUGUAAUUAUAGAGACUGAGAAUUGACUGUAAAAUUGACUUCUUUCUUUCUGAAAAAUAGUUGAUGAUGCUGUGAGUAUGCCACAACCAAACAGAAAAUAG
RNAcentral lists this unclassified non-coding RNA (3943 nucleotides) under Hevea brasiliensis (rubber tree). Lineage: Eukaryota; Viridiplantae; Streptophyta; Magnoliopsida; Malpighiales; Euphorbiaceae. The record is from RNAcentral.